RNAcentral lists this ribosomal RNA (792 nucleotides) under uncultured bacterium. Its description in RNAcentral is "bacterial SSU rRNA". It matches the Rfam family "Bacterial small subunit ribosomal RNA", at positions 8 to 796 of the family's 1533-position model. The record is from RNAcentral.
AGAGUUUGAUCCUGGCUCAGGAUGAACGCUAGCGGCAGGCUUAAUACAUGCAAGUCGAACGGCAAGUUGAGUAGCAAUACUUGACCUAGAGUGACGUACGGGUGCGUAACACGUAUGCAACCUACCCUUUACAGGCGGAUAGCUCGGGGAAACCCGAAUUAACCCGCCGUGGUAUGAUUGAGUGGCAUCACUUAGUCAUUAAAACUCCGGUGGUAAAGGAUGGGCAUGCGUCUGAUUAGUUAGUUGGCGGUGUAACGGACCACCAAGACGAUGAUCAGUAGGGGAACUGAGAGGUUGAUCCCCCACACUGGCACUGAGAUACGGGCCAGACUCCUACGGGAGGCAGCAGUAGGGAAUAUUGGUCAAUGGAUGCAAGUCUGAACCAGCCAUGCCGCGUGCAGGAAGAAGGCCUUCUGGGUUGUAAACUGCUUUUGCCAGGGGAUAAAAUGGGCGUGCGCGCCUAAUUGAAGGUACCUGGUGAAUAAGCCACGGCUAACUACGUGCCAGCAGCCGCGGUAAUACGUAGGUGGCAAGCGUUGUCCGGAUUUAUUGGGUUUAAAGGGUGCGUAGGCGGUUCUUUAAGUCAGUGCUGAAAUACUCCAGCUUAACUGGAGGGGUGGCAUUGAUACUGGGGAACUUGAAUGAAGUCGAGGUAGGCGGAAUUGACGGUGUAGCGGUGAAAUGCUUAGAUAUCGUCAAGAACACCGAUAGUGAAGACAGCUUACUAGGCUUAUAUUGACGCUGAGGCACGAAAGUGUGGGGAUCAAACAGGAUUAGAUACCCUAGUAGUCC